Molecule: non-coding RNA, 1007 nt
Organism: Doryrhamphus excisus (bluestripe pipefish)
Lineage: Eukaryota; Metazoa; Chordata; Actinopteri; Syngnathiformes; Syngnathidae
Source: RefSeq, a predicted model, not a curated record
UCUAUCAGCCUACACAUAGUCUUUGCCGGCGUUGCUCGCAGCGUUGGAUCGUGGGUAGCGUAACGCUUUCCCUGAAUCCUUCUUGCCGCAGUUGCAGCACAGGAAGGCUCCCCCGAUGAUGAUGAGGAAGGCAGCUCCCCAUCCGACAAAGAGGGCGCUCCCGAAUUCGUACCUGCCGUAGUCAAACAUUUAACAACUCGCACGCACAUUAUCGAUCACAGUCACCCCCACCUGGAAUUAGUCGGAGUGAAGGGGUCGUAAAAAUCCUGCGCUAUCCUGUUGGCGUACCACGACGUUCCCACCAGAGCCAGGAGGCCUGGAACGUAAACAAUCCAGAAGUCAAAGAAGAGGCGGCGUGUGGUGCGUGUUACAUGCGUGUUUCAAGGGGAUCACCGGCUAUGAUCAAGAUGAUCCCGCCGGUUAAAGCCACUUUGUCCUUCUGCUCGGGCUGAUCUGUUAAACAGGUGGUACACUUCAUGCCCACGACAGCCACCAAGAUGGCGAUCAAGCACAGCAAGAUGGCCGCCAGCAUCAGUCCACGCGUGCCCACAACAAUACCUGGGAGUGACCUGAAAAAAGGGAGGCUCUACCACUUUUACAGUUCGCCCUGACUGGGAUUUGAACCUUGGUUACCAAGCACCAUGGAGCCACCUACAAAAAUAAAAGACAUCAUUAAUAAAGCAGGACACCAGUGAUGUGCCAGCACUCCUGAUUCUGAAGGCCCUUGCCAGAUCACAUAUGACGACACCUAGAACCUUAAAUCUACUGCCAGGAGACACGUUCUUGGGAAUAAAUUUAAACCCAAAAUUCAACCUUUUCAGUGUCGGCCAUUUUGGACGAUUUUGGACAAUUUUUCAAGGCACACAGAAUAUUGUGUUAUAUGGCUAUAUACGUAAAUAUGAAACCUAAGUUUGUUUCUACCAUUUUCCGUUAUUUAGUAAUAAGCAGUAGCUGAUAGGUAAGUUUCAGGAAAAUAUCAGUUCCCAACUAAAAAAUAAAAAAGUGAG